AGUGAACGCUGGCGGUAGGCCUAACACAUGCAAGUCGAACGGCAGCACAGUAAGAGCUUGCUCUUACGGGUGGCGAGUGGCGGACGGGUGAGGAAUACAUCGGAAUCUACUUUUUCGUGGGGGAUAACGUAGGGAAACUUACGCUAAUACCGCAUACGACCUACGGGUGAAAGCAGGGGAUCUUCGGACCUUGCGCGAUUGAAUGAGCCGAUGUCGGAUUAGCUAGUUGGCGGGGUAAAGGCCCACCAAGGCGACGAUCCGUAGCUGGUCUGAGAGGAUGAUCAGCCACACUGGAACUGAGACACGGUCCAGACUCCUACGGGAGGCAGCAGUGGGGAAUAUUGGACAAUGGGCGCAAGCCUGAUCCAGCCAUACCGCGUGGGUGAAGAAGGCCUUCGGGUUGUAAAGCCCUUUUGUUGGGAAAGAAAAGCAGCAGGUUAAUACCCAGCUGUUCUGACGGUACCAAAAGAAUAAGCACCGGCUAACUUCGUG
RNAcentral lists this ribosomal RNA (492 nucleotides) under uncultured bacterium. RNAcentral describes it as "partial 16S ribosomal RNA". It matches the Rfam family "Bacterial small subunit ribosomal RNA", at positions 29 to 507 of the family's 1533-position model. The record is from RNAcentral.